AAGAGUCGGGGUCCACCAGGGCCCGAACUCCCACCCUUUGUCGUCGCGAAUUCGUUGCCUCGGCGGGCAGGCGGCCCUCGAAAGCCGCCCCCGGGCCCCACGGCCCACCCGUCGCGGGACAAAACCAACCCUGCUUUUUAACAAUGAAGUCGGAGCGAUUUAAAAAAUGAAUCA
RNAcentral lists this unclassified non-coding RNA (174 nucleotides) under uncultured fungus. RNAcentral describes it as "sequence contains ITS1, 5.8S rRNA gene". The record is from RNAcentral. Lineage: Eukaryota; Fungi.